This 525-nucleotide ribosomal RNA is filed under the name uncultured bacterium. RNAcentral's name for it is "bacterial SSU rRNA". It matches the Rfam family "Bacterial small subunit ribosomal RNA", at positions 777 to 1299 of the family's 1533-position model. The record is from RNAcentral.
AAUAGAUACCCAGGUAGUCCAUGCCGUAAACGUUGGGCACUAGGUGUGGGGCUCAUUCCACGAGUUCCGUGCCGCAGCAAACGCAUUAAGUGCCCCGCCUGGGGAGUACGGCCGCAAGGCUAAAACUCAAAGGAAUUGACGGGGGCCCGCACAAGCGGCGGAGCAUGCGGAUUAAUUCGAUGCAACGCGAAGAACCUUACCAAGGCUUGACAUGCACGGGAAGCCACCAGAGAUGGUGGUCUCUUUGGACACUCGUGCACAGGUGGUGCAUGGUUGUCGUCAGCUCGUGUCGUGAGAUGUUGGGUUAAGUCCCGCAACGAGCGCAACCCUCGUCCCAUGUUGCCAGCGGGUUAUGCCGGGGACUCAUGGGAGACUGCCGGGGGUCAACUCGGAGGAAGGUGGGGAUGACGUCAAAUCAUCAUGCCCCUUAUGUCUUGGGCUUCACGCAUGCUACAAUGGCCGGUACAAAGGGCUGCGAUGCCGUAAGGUGGAGCGAAUCCCAAAAAGCCGGUCUCAGUUCGAGUU